RNAcentral lists this ribosomal RNA (253 nucleotides) under uncultured bacterium. RNAcentral describes it as "partial 16S ribosomal RNA". It matches the Rfam family "Bacterial small subunit ribosomal RNA", at positions 524 to 776 of the family's 1533-position model. The record is from RNAcentral.
UACGUAGGCAGCAAGCGUUGUUCGGAUUUACUGGGCGUAAAGGGCGCGUAGGCGGCGUGUUAAGUCACUUGUGAAAUCUCUAAGCUUAACUUAGAACGGUCAAGUGAUACUGAUGUGCUAGAGUGCAGAAGGGGCAACCGGAAUUCUUGGUGUAGCGGUGAAAUGCGUAGAUAUCAAGAGGAACACCUGAGGUGAAGACGGGUUGCUGGGCUGACACUGACGCUGAGGCGCGAAAGCUAGGGUAGCAAACGGG